This 637-nucleotide ribosomal RNA is filed under the name uncultured bacterium. RNAcentral's name for it is "bacterial SSU rRNA". It matches the Rfam family "Bacterial small subunit ribosomal RNA", at positions 607 to 1244 of the family's 1533-position model. The record is from RNAcentral.
GCUCAACCGGGGAGGGUCAUUGGAAACUGGGAAACUUGAGUGCAGAAGAGGAGAGUGGAAUUCCACGUGUAGCGGUGAAAUGCGUAGAGAUGUGGAGGAACACCAGUGGCGAAGGCGACUCUCUGGUCUGUAACUGACGCUGAGGAGCGAAAGCGUGGGGAGCGAACAGGAUUAGAUACCCUGGUAGUCCACGCCGUAAACGAUGAGUGCUAAGCGUUAGGGGGUUUCCGCCCCUUAGUGCUGCAGCUAACGCAUUAAGCACUCCGCCUGGGGAGUACGGUCGCAAGACUGAAACUCAAAGGAAUUGACGGGGGCCCGCACAAGCGGUGGAGCAUGUGGUUUAAUUCGAAGCAACGCGAAGAACCUUACCAGGUCUUGACAUCCUCUGACAACCCUAGAGAUAGGGCUUUCCCUUCGGGGACAGAGUGACAAGUGGUGCAUGGUUGUCGUCAGCUCGUGUCGUGAGAUGUUGGGUUAAGUCCCGCAACGAGCGCAACCCUUGAUCUUAGUUGCCAGCAUUCAGUUGGGCACUCUAAGGUGACUGCCGGUGACAAACCGGAGGAAGGUGGGGAUGACGUCAAAUCAUCAUGCCCCUUAUGACCUGGGCUACACACGUGCUACAAUGGACAGAACAAAG